Molecule: ribosomal RNA, 270 nt
Filed under: Pseudomonas fluorescens
Lineage: Bacteria; Pseudomonadati; Pseudomonadota; Gammaproteobacteria; Pseudomonadales; Pseudomonadaceae
Description: partial 16S ribosomal RNA
Rfam family: Bacterial small subunit ribosomal RNA
Source: RNAcentral
GGGCGUAAGCGCGCGCAGGUGGUUUCUUAAGUCUGAUGUGAAAGCCCCCCGCUCAACCGGGGAACUGCAUUGGAAACUGGCGAACUUGAGUGCGGAAGAGGGUGGUGGAAUUCCCUGUGUAGCGGUGAAAUGCGUAGAUAUGUGAAGGAACACCAGUGGCGAAGGCGACCUCUUGGACUGUAACUGACACUGAGGCGCGAAAGCGUGGGGAGCAAACAGGAUUAGAUACCCUGGUAGUCCACGCCGUAAACGAUGUCUGCUAGCCGUUGG